This 693-nucleotide long non-coding RNA is filed under the name Nicotiana benthamiana. RNAcentral describes it as "long non-coding RNA (NBEN_LNC034464)". The record is from RNAcentral. Lineage: Eukaryota; Viridiplantae; Streptophyta; Magnoliopsida; Solanales; Solanaceae.
CCCAUUUAGGAAGAGCUUGCUUUACAACAUUGUCAUCAUCAAUCUUUCUCUUAAAACAUUUGUUAGGAACCUGGUUCCUCUUGGUUGCUUUGUCAAAGUUGUUAUUGCACUGAUCUUGCUUUAAUAGGGGGCAAUCCUUGAUGUACGUCCUGGCUUGCCACAUUUAUGACAAAGGUCAUAAUUUCUUGGCUUGCUAGAACUUUCCCUUUCAAGAAUGCCUCCAUUCGAGUGAACCAUCUUAUGGAAUAUUCUUGUCAAGUAGGUCAUGUCCCCAUCUUCACCACAUGAGUCAUUAUUGUCUGCCUUGAGAACCAGGUUCUUUUCCCUCAUACGGUCUCUUCUUUUAUUGUCCUUCUUCUUCUUCUUCUUCUUCUUCGUCUUCUUCUUCUCCUUCUUCUUCUUUUCUUCGUCGUCAUUUCAUAGGUUUUCAAGUUUCCAACAAAUUCUUCCAUUGUCAGUGUCUACAAGUCCUUAGCCUCUGUAAUGGCGUUAACUUUGCUUUCCCAAGAACUGGACAGUACACUAAGAAUUUUCUGACAAGCUUUGUUUCUCAUAAUACAUUCACCAAGAUAGUGAAACUCAUUGAUAAUGGAGGUUAAUCGAGUAGGCAUAUUUUGGAUGGAUUCAUCAUCUUUCAUUGUGAAGAGCGCAUACUAGUCGUGAUCAUAUCAAUCUUGGAUUGAUUCACAUGUG